RNAcentral lists this ribosomal RNA (497 nucleotides) under uncultured bacterium. RNAcentral describes it as "partial 16S ribosomal RNA". It matches the Rfam family "Bacterial small subunit ribosomal RNA", at positions 28 to 507 of the family's 1533-position model. The record is from RNAcentral.
GAUGAACGCUGGCGGCGUGCCUAAUACAGGCAAGUCGAGCGAACGGACGAGAAGCUUGCUUUUGUGGUGUUAGGGGCGGACGGGGGAGGAACAGGUGGAUAACCGCCCUUGAAGGCGGGGGUAACGUCGGGAAACCGGUGCCGAGACCGGGGGAUAGUUUGAAGCGCAUGGCUCACACGUUAAAGACGGUCGUGCAGUCAGGAGUGGAGGGACCCGCGCUGCAUUAGCUAGUUGGUAAGGUAACGGCUUACCAAGGCAACGCUGCCUAGCCGACCUGAGAGGGUGAUCGGCCACACUGGAACUGAGACACGGUCCAGACUCCUACGGGAGGCAGCAGUAGGGACUCUUCCGCCAUGGGCGAAAGCCUGACGGAGCAACGCCGCGUGAGUGAUGAAGGUCUUCGGAUCGUAAAACUCUGUUAUUAGGGAAGCACAUAUGUGUAAGUAACUGUGCACACCUUGACGGUACCUCAUCAGAAAGCCACGGCUAACUACGUG